This 351-nucleotide unclassified non-coding RNA is filed under the name Hevea brasiliensis (rubber tree). The record is from RNAcentral. Lineage: Eukaryota; Viridiplantae; Streptophyta; Magnoliopsida; Malpighiales; Euphorbiaceae.
GGACUGUGUAUGUGUUUACAAUUUCAACUACUGUCCAUCUCUCCGGUCUAUUAGCUUACUGCUAGACUAUAGCAUUGAUGUGCUGAUGAGCCCUGUGUCUGUCAUCUGUGUUUUCUAUGGCCAAUCUUGAUUCGUUAUUGUUUUGCUUUCACUGGAAAAUUUAUUAGAGAUUUUACAGUCAUGUGGUUUGAUGUACAAAGUGGUCUAGACAACUUUAUGGGCCAAAUAGAUAUUGAACAUACCAUUUAUAUUAUGUGUAUUUUCUUAGUUUGUGAUGCCCUGCUCCAAAUUAAAAUGAUCUUAUAUGCCAUGCUUGCUCGUGGAUACAGAUUCAAAAUGAUUAUAAGGUCA